This is an RNA transcript of Tachysurus fulvidraco (yellow catfish), 1315 nucleotides long. It is a transcript of the gene named DPY30 domain containing 2, with no coding region annotated. The record is from RefSeq and is a predicted model, not a curated record. The transcript is spliced from 8 exons. Lineage: Eukaryota; Metazoa; Chordata; Actinopteri; Siluriformes; Bagridae.
GUCGUAUGUCGGUUGUUUGGUCGUCUCCUAGCAACCGCAGCGCGUGCACGGUAACCAUAGCGACGGAGCGCUCGAGCGGCUGAAACUCAGACGUUUGUAAAGUGUUGCUGCGUUUAAGGCGUGUUUUAUUCGGGAUGGACACCGAGUACCUGAAACAGAGACUGGGGAAAUGUUUGGUGGAGGGUCUGGCGGAAAUUGUGGAGCAGAGACCUGUGGACCCCAUUGAGUUUCUCGCUCACUACAUCUACAAACACAAAGAAAACUUGGAGUACGCCAAGAAGAAAGCUGCACAUGAGAAGCUGGUGGAGAAGGAGGUGCAAAAAGCCAGAGAGGAGGCAGAGCAUCAGAAACGGCUGAAGGAGGAGGAGGCGCAAAUACAAGCCGCCCAGGAGCCAAAAGCCGAAACUGAAGCAGAUGCUAAACAACCCACUGCCCAGCCUGGGGCAGAAGACCCAGAAAUGCGGGCUGAAGCUAAGACAACAGUGGAGGCUCCACCAGACGGGGAGGAUUUAGACGGCACCAAAGCUGCAGACGUAGACGGUUCCGUCUCAGAGAGCACAGACGAUGCAAUGAGACGGAUUCCUGAAGAAUCAGCGGGUGAGACACACCCAGAGGAGGUUUCUGACGAGACGAAACCUCAGGAUGUCCCGGGGAGUGAUGUAAUAAAUACCGUGGAGUCUGCGGGCGAGACACAACCGAGUCACAGCCAGGUAGAGGACGAGGUGAGGACAAUCAGACUACUGGCUCAGUGGCAGACAGAGAAAGACAGAGUCGAUAGAAAGACGAGAAGAAAAGCUAUUUCACUGCAUGCUUUUAAACGAGGCUCAUUCUAUACACGUUUCCUAUCAAAACCGGUGAACAUGCUUCCUAGCUAGUGCAUGCUGUCACUCAGCCCUCUUCCACAUACACAAGAUCAUAGAGGCUCACGAUUGGCUAGCGAGUGUCACUGUGCAGCUCAGACGAGUUUUACUUUACUAUAUUGAAGAUCGGAGUCCUUAUCAUUGCGCAAUACCGGCGCAAGUCGAGAAACUUUCCAAGACGGUCUGAUGACCAGAGAUCGUUAGAGAUAAUCAGGGAUUUUUCUAGAUCGCCAGAGAUCUCUAAAGAUGAUCACAGAUGACCAGAGAUGAUUAGAGAUCUUUCGAGACGGUCGGAGAUGACUAGACAUGAAAGAUCGAGAACGAGAUUCAGGUGGAUCCAAACCUCCAGACGUAGAUAGUACGGUCUCUGGAGACAACCCUGAGGUAAAUCCUGAAGAAUCAGUCGGCGAGACACAACCGAGCCAAACCCAAGCGGAAGAAGAGGUAAGGACAGA